This 354-nucleotide ribosomal RNA is filed under the name uncultured bacterium. RNAcentral describes it as "bacterial SSU rRNA". It matches the Rfam family "Bacterial small subunit ribosomal RNA", at positions 8 to 350 of the family's 1533-position model. The record is from RNAcentral.
AGAGUUUGAUCCUGGCUCAGGAUGAACGCUAGCUACAGGCUUAACACAUGCAAGUCGAGGGGAAACGACAUCGAAAGCUUGCUUUUGAUGGGCGUCGACCGGCGCACGGGUGAGUAACGCGUAUCCAACCUGCCCACCACUUGGGGAUAACCUUGCGAAAGUAAGACUAAUACCCAAUGACGUCUCUAGAAGACAUCUGAAAGAGAUUAAAGAUUUAUCGGUGAUGGAUGGGGAUGCGUCUGAUUAGCUUGUUGGCGGGGUAACGGCCACUAAGGCUACGAUCAGUAGGGGUUCUGGAGAGGAAGGUCCCCCANACUUGGAACUGAGACACGGUCCAAACUCCUACGGGAGGCA